CCUGGCUCAGGAUGAACGCUAGCUACAGGCUUAACACAUGCAAGUCGAGGGGCAGCAUGGUCUUAGCUUGCUAAGGCCGAUGGCGACCGGCGCACGGGUGAGUAACACGUAUCCAACCUGCCGUCUACUCUUGGACAGCCUUCUGAAAGGAAGAUUAAUACAAGAUGGCAUCAUGAGUCCGCAUGUUCACAUGAUUAAAGGUAUUCCGGUAGACGAUGGGGAUGCGUUCCAUUAGAUAGUAGGCGGGGUAACGGCCCACCUAGUCUUCGAUGGAUAGGGGUUCUGAGAGGAAGGUCCCCCACAUUGGAACUGAGGCACGGUCCAAACUCCUACGGGAGGCAGCAGUGAGGAAUAUUGGUCAAUGGGCGAGAGCCUGAACCAGCCAAGUAGCGUGAAGGAUGACUGCCCUAUGGGUUGUAAACUUCUUUUAUAAAGGAAUAAAGUCGGGUAUGGAUACCCGUUUGCAUGUACUUUAUGAAUAAGGAUCGGCUAACUCCGUGCCAGCAGCCGCGGUAAUACGGAGGAUCCGAGCGUUAUCCGGAUUUAUUGGGUUUAAAGGGAGCGUAGAUGGAUGUUUAAGUCAGUUGUGAAAGUUUGCGGCUCAACCGUAAAAUUGCAGUUGAUACUGGAUAUCUUGAGUGCAGUUGAGGCAGGCGGAAUUCGUGGUGUAGCGGUGAAAUGCUUAGAUAUCACGAAGAACUCCGAUUGCGAAGGCAGCCUGCUAAGCUGCAACUGACAUUGAGGCUCGAAAGUGUGGGUAUCAAACAGGAUUAGAUACCCUGGUAGUCCACACGGUAAACGAUGAAUACUCGCUGUUUGCGAUAUACUGCAAGCGGCCAAGCGAAAGCGUUAAGUAUUCCACCUGGGGAGUACGCCGGCAACGGUGAAACUCAAAGGAAUUGACGGGGGCCCGCACAAGCGGAGGAACAUGUGGUUUAAUUCGAUGAUACGCGAGGAACCUUACCCGGGCUUAAAUUGCAGAUGAAUUACGGUGAAAGCCGUAAGCCGCAAGGCAUCUGUGAAGGUGCUGCAUGGUUGUCGUCAGCUCGUGCCGUGAGGUGUCGGCUUAAGUGCCAUAACGAGCGCAACCCUUGUUGUCAGUUACUAACAGGUUCCGCUGAGGACUCUGACAAGACUGCCAUCGUAAGAUGUGAGGAAGGUGGGGAUGACGUCAAAUCAGCACGGCCCUUACGUCCGGGGCUACACACGUGUUACAAUGGGGGGUACAGAGGGCCGCUACCACGCGAGUGGAUGCCAAUCCCCAAAACCUCUCUCAGUUCGGACUGGAGUCUGCAACCCGACUCCACGAAGCUGGAUUCGCUAGUAAUCGCGCAUCAGCCACGGCGCGGUGAAUACGUUCCCGGGCCUUGUACACACCGCC
RNAcentral lists this ribosomal RNA (1381 nucleotides) under uncultured bacterium. RNAcentral's name for it is "bacterial SSU rRNA". It matches the Rfam family "Bacterial small subunit ribosomal RNA", at positions 18 to 1394 of the family's 1533-position model. The record is from RNAcentral.